This 860-nucleotide ribosomal RNA is filed under the name uncultured bacterium. RNAcentral's name for it is "bacterial SSU rRNA". It matches the Rfam family "Bacterial small subunit ribosomal RNA", at positions 1 to 864 of the family's 1533-position model. The record is from RNAcentral.
UUAGAGUUUGAUCCUGGCUCAGGAUGAACGCUAGCGGCAGGCUUAACACAUGCAAGUCGAGGGGCAGCAUGUCCAGCAAUGGAUGAUGGCGACCGGCGGAAGGGUGCGUAACGCGUGAGCAACAUGCCCUAUACAGGGAGAUACACCAGGGAAACUUGGUCUAAUAUCCCAUAGCAUUCAUUGAAGGCAUCUUUAAUGAAUUAAAGCUUCGGUGGUAUAGGAUUGGCUCGCGUGACAUUAGCCAGAUGGUGAGGUAACGGCUCACCAUAGCAAUGAUGUCUAGGGGUUUUGAGAGGAAGGCCCCCCACACUGGGACUGAGACACGGCCCAGACUCCUACGGGAGGCAGCAGUGAGGAAUAUUGGACAAUGGAUGGAAAUCUGAUCCAGCCAUGCCGCGUGCAGGAAGACGGCCUUAUGGGUUGUAAACUGCUUUUAUACGGGAGCAAUAAGGGUUACGAGUAAUCCGAUGAGAGUACUGUAUGAAUAAGGAUCGGCUAACUCCGUGCCAGCAGCCGCGGUAAUACGGAGGAUCCGAGCGUUAUCCGGAAUUAUUGGGUUUAAAGGGUGCGUAGGCGGCCAUUUAAGUCAGCGGUGAAAUUUUGCAGCUUAACUGUAACAGUGCCGUUGAUACUGUUUGGCUAGGAUUUGGUUGUAGUGUGCGGAAUGUGUGGUGUAGCGGUGAAAUGCUUAGAUAUCACACAGAACACCGAUUGCGAAGGCAGCACACUAAGUCAUUAUUGACGCUGAGGCACGAAAGUGUGGGGAUCAAACAGGAUUAGAUACCCUGGUAGUCCACACUGUAAACGAUGAUAACUCGCUGUCGGCGAUACACAGUCCGUGGGCAAGCGAAAGCAUUAAG